GUGAAAGUGGAAUGCAAAAUUACAAACAGCUUACCACCAUCUUACAAGUAUUCUUACCAAAACCAAAUAGGAGCAAAACCAAAUUGACAAAACAAUAUCUUAUUGAGCAUGGAUAAAAGUUGCAAGAUGAACGUGUGCUGACAUGGAGCUUUAGAAAGGCACACUAUGAACAACAAGAAUUAGCAAUUAACGAGUGCAGAUUUAGCUAAGUUCAAUAAGUUUCCAAAAGAUAAAUCAUAAUUGCUGGCUAAGACGUGUCCACACGUAGCGCAACAAGGUGAAACAAAGGACGAUAGAAAGAACUCAUAGACAAGCAAAUAGCCCAAAUUUUUCCUUUUUCGUGAAUAUACCGUGGUUUUCUAAAAGGCACUAAUAGGAAUCAAUUUUUUUUAUUUUUUCACUAUUUUUUUAUAUUUUUCUUUGAACAAGGAUCACAAAAAAACAACCACAAAAAUUGGCACCUACAACUGAGGUGGGAUGUGGUCUACAAAAAUUCAGCACGUUCUCUGAAAAGCGUGCAAAAACUUUGACAAUUUUUUUUCUUUAUUUUCCCAAUUUUUUGGCAAUUUUAAUGAGAUCAAACAGGCCGAAGCCAAGUUUGGGUCGGCUCUAAAUGGUGUCAAGAAGGUUCCGUAAAAUUUCAGAUUUUUUUGAUAAACGAGCGAAAAAUUAUGCCUAUUUUACCGAAGGUAUCUCAAGUUAUGGUUUUCGGGGAAGGCACAACAUGGCGGCAGCAGUUAGUGCAAAACAUCAUUAAACUCCAACACUGAUCACAGAAUAAAUCGUCCCUGUGACUAACAACUGUAGGUAUUCAUCUAAUGAUGUAAGGAGGGCUGCAAUGCACGAGAAAUAACAACGGCCUAUCUAGGGUUAGCGUGGCGGCGAGAGAUCACACAAGGCGGCUAGCGGGGCCAAGUCGAGUAAUAUGGUGGCUUUGACUUGUUAUUUGGGAACAGGGAAUGGAAUAGUGGCGGAAACAAAGAACAGCAACGGUGCAGUUGAACUACGACGACGAACACAACCGAAACCAACAACUAGACUCAAACAAGACACAAACUCAACAAAGCAAAUCUGAAAACAAAAUUGCAAGGCAUAAUGGGUGAUAGGACUGUGGAAAUUGAAAUAUUUUUAGGCUUUUGUGGACUCUAGGUAAUGAACAAAUAUGAAUCUAGGGCAAAUAAGAUUAUAUCUCAUGGUAAACCUAAAAUAUCUCAUACCAAUUGGUGAGUACAGGCUUGAUCUUCUGAAAGGUAACUGGUAAGUUUGAUUUGUGGAGGUCUUGACGUUGGCCGAUUGUUGACAGUCGAUAACGUCAACUUUUAUUAGAACUUUAGACCCAAAUGAGAACAUAAAAACACACUAGUCUAGGGUUUAAACUGACAGUUUCCACGAGUUUUGCAUAUUCUGUGUUUUCCAUGGUUUAUUUUAGAGAGAGGUGAAGAGAGAGAUUUAAGUGCAAAAGAAACACUAAACUUAACCGCGACGCAACAACACCACCAACGGGGUCAGAAAGGUUCUACAAGACACCCGAAGGAACAAGACCCGCAGAGGAGGCAAGGUAGGGCCGGCCGGCCCCACCCUGGUG
Molecule: long non-coding RNA, 1585 nt
Filed under: Sorghum bicolor (sorghum)
Lineage: Eukaryota; Viridiplantae; Streptophyta; Magnoliopsida; Poales; Poaceae
Description: long non-coding RNA (SBIC_LNC009848)
Source: RNAcentral